UGGGGGAUAUUGCACAAUGGGCGAAAGCCUGAUGCAGCGACGCCGCGUGGGGGAUGAAGGCCUUCGGGUUGUAAACUUCUUUUGCUCUGAACAAGGCGCACCAUGGGGUGUGUUGAGUGUAGGGGUUGAUUAGCGCCGGCUAACUACGUGCCAGCAGCCGCGGUAAUACGUAGGGCGCGAGCGUUGUCCGGAAUUAUUGGGCGUAAAGGGCUUGUAGGUGGCUGGUUGCGUCUGUCGUGAAAGCUCAUGGCUUAACUGUGGGUUUGCGGUGGGUACGGGCUGGCUUGAGUGCAGUAGGGGAGGCUGGAAUUCCUGGUGUAGCGGUGGAAUGCGCAGAUAUCAGGAGGAAUACCGGUGCCGAAGUCGGGUCUCUGGGCUGUUACUGACACUGAGGAGCGAAAGCAUGGGGAGCGAACAGG
This 419-nucleotide ribosomal RNA is filed under the name bacterium. RNAcentral's name for it is "partial 16S ribosomal RNA". It matches the Rfam family "Bacterial small subunit ribosomal RNA", at positions 355 to 776 of the family's 1533-position model. The record is from RNAcentral.